Molecule: transfer RNA, 69 nt
Filed under: Trachypithecus phayrei crepuscula
Lineage: Eukaryota; Metazoa; Chordata; Mammalia; Primates; Cercopithecidae
Description: tRNA-Trp
Source: RNAcentral
AGAAAUUUAGGUUAAUAUAAGACCAAAAGCCUUCAAAGCUUUUAGUAAGUUAAGCAUACUUAAUUUCUG